Molecule: small nuclear RNA, 98 nt
Organism: Prosopis cineraria
Lineage: Eukaryota; Viridiplantae; Streptophyta; Magnoliopsida; Fabales; Fabaceae
Source: RefSeq, a predicted model, not a curated record
GUCCGUUCGUGGACAGCCAAUACAAUUGACAUGACACGGAGAAGAUUAGCAUAAUCCUUGUGUAAGACACACAAAUCGAGUAAAUAGAAUAGAUUACC